Molecule: unclassified non-coding RNA, 783 nt
Filed under: Hevea brasiliensis (rubber tree)
Lineage: Eukaryota; Viridiplantae; Streptophyta; Magnoliopsida; Malpighiales; Euphorbiaceae
Source: RNAcentral
GGAAAGCAAGCAUUCAGCUAACAAGAACAACAAUAUAAUAGCCACAAGCAUGAACAGUGAGACAAAUGUUCAAUAAAAACAUGUGAAGGAGGACGACUGUGAAAGGAACGAAAAGAAACCAGGAUGGGGGGGAACUACAGAAACAUGGGACUCGAUCAAUGCAAAACCAUUGAAAAUAAAUCAUGCAAACCACCACAAGUCACACAAGUUUUGCACAGAAGGACAAACAAACAAACUGCAUUGUUCAUCCAAAAAAACAUAAAAAGCUAAUUGAUGCAGCAUGACAUACACCUACAUACAUACAUACUGGUAGCCAUAGGAUCCUAUAUAAUAAUAAGAUUACAAGCACAAAAUUGCAUCAAACGCAGAGAAUGACUUGCUGGUACAAAUAUGCACUUAACACUUGGGAAAAUACAAUUCAUUUUAACACAACACAUUCUGAAGUUAUGGUAUCACCCAUUAAUCUAGGAGUGUAGUCAUUAGCAAACAAAAAUUAGUUAUGCAUUCCAGAUCAAAUCUUACGCAAAAAUGAGCAAAUGGACCAAAAUAUUUGACCCCUAAAAAUGUCAGCUGAACAAAAUAUAAUAAAAAAAAAUACAGUUAGUCCAAAUGUCCACAAGUUCCAUUAAAUUAGCCUUUCAAAUACGCCCAAUAUCUUAUUCAUUUUUAUUUUAUUUAAAGAUCUGAAAACUGACAGAAAUAAAAAAUGCUUUUACCAGGAUGACAAAUUAGAUCAAGGCAUUUUAUUUGCUCUUUACUUGCCAAAAGUAAAAGAAAACUAUA